GGGGUUGUGGUGUAACCAGGCAGCACAAUUGGCUCCAGACCAAUUAAUCGGGGUUCAAAAAGGUCUGGAAAUCCAAAGAAAGAAGCGAAACUUUUUUCUUUGGGGUGAACCACAGACCUUUCUUUUUCAAAGAAAGGGAUAGGGAAAAUCCCUGCAACCCCA
RNAcentral lists this transfer RNA (162 nucleotides) under Candidatus Aenigmatarchaeota archaeon. RNAcentral describes it as "tRNA-Trp". Lineage: Archaea; Nanobdellati; Candidatus Aenigmatarchaeota. The record is from RNAcentral.